Molecule: ribosomal RNA, 253 nt
Filed under: uncultured bacterium
Lineage: Bacteria
Description: partial 16S ribosomal RNA
Rfam family: Bacterial small subunit ribosomal RNA
Source: RNAcentral
UACGUAGGGUGCGAGCGUUAUUCGGAUUUAUUGGGCGUAAAGGGUUCGUAGGCGGUGAAGUAAGUUUGAUGUGAAAUCUCCAGGCUCAACCUGGAAACUGCAUUGGAUACUGCUUCACUUGAGUAUUGGAGAGGUAAGCGGAAUUCCUGGUGUAGCGGUGGAAUGCGUAGAUAUCAGGAGGAACACCGAUGGCGAAGGCAGCUUACUGGACAAUUACUGACGCUGAGGAACGAAAGCUAGGUUAGCAAACAGG